AACGAACGCUGGCGGCAUGCCUAACACAUGCAAGUCGAACGAGACCUUCGGGUCUAGUGGCGCACGGGUGCGUAACGCGUGGGAACCUGCCCUUAGGUUCGGAAUAACUCCCCGAAAGGGGUGCUAAUACCGGAUAAUGUCUUCGGACCAAAGAUUUAUCGCCUUUGGAUGGGCCCGCGUUGGAUUAGCUAGUUGGUAGGGUAAAAGCCUACCAAGGCGACGAUCCAUAGCUGGUGUGAGAGGAUGAUCAACCACACUGGGACUGAGACACGGCCCAGGCUCCUACGGGAGGCAGCAGUGGGGAAUAUUGGACAAUGGGCGAAAGCCUGAUCCAGCAAUGCCGCGUGAGUGAUGAAGGCCUUAGGGUUGUAAAGCUCUUUUACCCGGGAUGAUAAUGACAGUACCGGGAGAAUAAGCUCCGGCUAACUCCGUG
RNAcentral lists this ribosomal RNA (433 nucleotides) under uncultured bacterium. Its description in RNAcentral is "partial 16S ribosomal RNA". It matches the Rfam family "Bacterial small subunit ribosomal RNA", at positions 29 to 507 of the family's 1533-position model. The record is from RNAcentral.